Molecule: ribosomal RNA, 624 nt
Filed under: Corticium roseocarneum
Lineage: Eukaryota; Fungi; Basidiomycota; Agaricomycetes; Corticiales; Corticiaceae
Description: partial small subunit ribosomal RNA
Rfam family: Bacterial small subunit ribosomal RNA
Source: RNAcentral
ACUAGCUANCUGAAAUCAUUAAUGUCUCCACCGUGUCUCAUUAAUGAUGUCGUAAAGGAAAAUAAUGAUGAUACUUUACUAUGAGCGUUGUCCAAGAUCUAGUGCCAGAAGACUCGGUAAGGCUAGGGACGCAAACGUUAACCGUCUUAAACAGGCGUAAAGGGUUUGUAGGCAGCUUUAAGUAUCCNCUUNCUAAUAUAGCUAUACUUCNCACAUAAAUUAUUUUUGUUUUUCUUCCAUAUUUAAAAAGGUUUUAUNAAAAAAUAAUUAGUAAAUAGUAGAUACAAUAAAAUUGUAGUUAAAAAAAAGAUCAAUUGAAGCUAGAAUCUAGAGGGGGAUAUAUGAAUAACACUUAGAGUAGAGCUGAGAUCCUUAAAAACUAAGUAGAAUAUUAGAGGCGUAGGCUUUUUAUCCUGUAAAGAUUGACGCUGAGAAACGAAGGUGAGGAUAGGAAAUAGGAUUAGAGACCCAGUUACCCCUCUCUGUCAACGAUGAAUGGUGGCUGCUAGGAAUAUAAUUUGUUAAUAUAAAUUAUAAAAUAAAAAUUCUGGUGGCGAGGCUAACGCGUGAACCAUUCCGCCUUGUGAGUACGGCUGCAAAGCUGAAAUNNAAAAAAUUAGUCGA